UUUUUUUUUUGGGUAUUAUCGGGUAUUUUUGGGUAAUUUGGAUAAAUUUAGAUACAUUUGGAUAAAAAGUAACCAAUCCGGACGGUACCCGAUAAAUAUUCAGUUAUUUUCCGGUUCUUCAAUCAAUUAUCCGAACCGACCCAAACCCGAAAAAUACCGAACCAAAAUUUUAUAAUAUCCGAAUGGAUCCUAAAUCUUUAGUACCGGAAUACCCAAAACCCGAAAUACCCAAACCGAACUCGAACCGAUACCCGAAUGCCGAGGCCUAAAUUACAUAUUAAUAUAGCCCAAAAUAAAAACUCUUAACGAGAUAUCUAGAUCCUUCCCAACCCUAACAUAUAUAUAAUAAUAAUAUAUAUACGGCAGAUGGUGAAAUAGUUGGAAAGAAAAGCGAGAAACUUUAGAAGAAAAACAUGGAGCUGAGAGUUUGUUCGUAAAAAAAAAACGAAAAGGGAUGUGACCAAAUCCGUGGAGUCCAGUGACUUUGAGACCUCUACCGUUAGCUCCCAGGUCGGCAAUGGAUGCAACCAAGUCUUGAACCGGAAGCGCAAACUGAAACAAAAGCCAGCGGAGGUUGCUUCUGAUGUGGAAGUUGACUCGGACGGUUCGAGAGAGGCGAGGAUUAGGUAUCUGUCUUCCCUCAAAGCUUCGGCAUCAACAGAUUCUUCGCAUCUUAAGGUCUUCCUCGCUGAAGUAUAUGGAGUGGAGGAAGAUUCUUGGCUUCCUUCGAAGGAGUUUGGGCAAUUGUUUCCUUAGUUUGAGCUCGAGGACAACAAGCUGGUUAUCCGGGAAAGGAGUAUUGAUACGGUGCACCAGCGGUAUUCUCGAAGGAAGCCGUUGAAGGACAACAAGCUGGAUUGAUGUGCUUGAGCUCGAGCACGUAGAUCUUUUGUUUUGUUAUCAGAUUAAGCUACUCUUGUAAUCGGAUUUGUUAAUUACAAUAUCAGUAAACUUCAAAUUCUACUCUA
Arabidopsis lyrata subsp. lyrata is the source of this 968-nucleotide long non-coding RNA. RefSeq lists it as uncharacterized. The transcript has 2 exons. Lineage: Eukaryota; Viridiplantae; Streptophyta; Magnoliopsida; Brassicales; Brassicaceae. The record is from RefSeq and is a predicted model, not a curated record.